GUACACUCCUACGGGAGGCAGCAGUGGGGAAUAUUGGACAAUGGGCGCAAGCCUGAUCCAGCCAUGCCGCGUGAGUGAUGAAGGCCCUAGGGUUGUAAAGCUCUUUCACCGGUGAAGAUAAUGACGGUAACCGGAGAAGAAGCCCCGGCUAACUUCGUGCCAGCAGCCGCGGUAAUACGAAGGGGGCUAGCGUUGUUCGGAUUUACUGGGCGUAAAGCGCACGUAGGCGGACUAUUAAGUCAGGGGUGAAAUCCCGGGGCUCAACCCCGGAACUGCCUUUGAUACUGGUAGUCUUGAGUUCGAGAGAGGUGAGUGGAAUUCCGAGUGUAGAGGUGAAAUUCGUAGAUAUUCGGAGGAACACCAGUGGCGAAGGCGGCUCACUGGCUCGAUACUGACGCUGAGGUGCGAAAGCGUGGGGAGCAAACAGGAUUAGAAACCCGUGUAGUCC
This 448-nucleotide ribosomal RNA is filed under the name uncultured organism. RNAcentral describes it as "partial 16S ribosomal RNA". It matches the Rfam family "Bacterial small subunit ribosomal RNA", at positions 331 to 796 of the family's 1533-position model. The record is from RNAcentral.